This 298-nucleotide long non-coding RNA is filed under the name Gossypium barbadense (sea-island cotton). RNAcentral's name for it is "long non-coding RNA (GBAR_LNC004130)". The record is from RNAcentral. Lineage: Eukaryota; Viridiplantae; Streptophyta; Magnoliopsida; Malvales; Malvaceae.
AUAUGUACAUUAUUAUUACCAUACAAUUGUCUUAAUUUGGUUUAUUUAUUUAUUUAGUCCUUCAACUUUUCUUUAAUCUAUAAUUAAGCUUUUACACUUUAUUUAAUUUAGUCCUUAUACCUAAUUAACCUUAAUUCAAGCUAAUUCUCCUAAUUAAAACCUAAUUAACCACACAACUAACUUUGUAAAUAUAUUUAAUAAAUAUUUAUGAAUCUAUUUCACGAAAACGAUGACCCAAAAAUACACUUUCCAAUUACCUGACUAUUGAGUCAUUACAAUUCUCCCCCCUUUAAUAAAU